RNAcentral lists this long non-coding RNA (2009 nucleotides) under Piliocolobus tephrosceles (Ugandan red Colobus). RNAcentral's name for it is "lncRNA (ENSPTEG00000022576.1)". Lineage: Eukaryota; Metazoa; Chordata; Mammalia; Primates; Cercopithecidae. The record is from RNAcentral.
CAGCAAGUGAGAUAUUAGUAUUACUCCCUUUUGCAAAAGAGGAAACUCAGGCUCAGAGAUGAGUCAUGGGACAGGUGAGGCAAGACUGGAAUCUAAACCCAAGGCUAUGGGGUUCAAGGACUAGACCCCUUCCUCUGCUCCUAGGGCCUCACUAAGCCACCUGUGUGGUAGCUGUAAUGCCAUAUGUCUCAGACACGCAGCCUGACCAGGGAAGGCCAUUAGAGUGGGGUGGACGUGGACGGCAGAGAAGAGAGUUAAAGCAGCUCAAGAUAACGGGCUAGAGAGAGUGGGGAGUUCAGGGAGCUGCUGGUUAGAUUAAGGCAGGGAAAGUGGGGAGCACGGAAGAGGUGGGAUCCUGAGUACCCUGCUUUCCUUCCCAGGGUAAUGGGGAGAGGCAUUCCCUACCCCCACUUUCAAGCAAGGGAGGUGCGUCCUCGGCCUGGGGUUUCGAGCAGGUCUCUCUGAGCAGGUCCCUUCCUGGCCAGCCGGGCUGGGGCAGGGGCGGGAUAGGGGUAGGGUGGCGCGGCGGCUGGGCGCAAAGGUCCCGCAGUGGGCCACGCAGGCGCCGGGCUGACGCGGCAAAACUUUGGCGUCUCUGAAAACCUCUGCUCACCCGCUCCUUUCUAGCGUGAGGGAGCCGGGCGGCCUCUUUCCGGCCCGGCAGUGGGACCGUCGCCGCCCGCCCCUCCCGUUGCAGCACCGCUACAGACGCGCUGACCCCGCGGCCGUGUCGCUAGGCGGCAUCCCGGAGCGGGUGGCGAGGUAUCUACCCGGGCGGGUUGAGGGCGGUGCCAGGGUUGGUCAAAGGUCCGCCCCGCCCCCUGCCUGGCCCGGCUUCGGGGUUGGGGAACAGCGCAGAGAGGUGGGUAGCUGGGCUCCCAGGCACGUGGAUCUCUGCGACGGCGGCUGCACGCAGGCACUGGCACCCGGGAGCCGCGGCGACGGCACGCCGGACGGAGAAGCGCAGCGCAGGGGCGAGAGCAUCCCGCACGAGGCUGAGCUGAACUGAGAGAGCAGCAGCAGCCCCCAUCCCCUGUUUCUGGCCCCAGCUUCUCCAGUAAAGGCCUGGCUGCAGGUGAGCUCCAUGUCACUACAAAGAAGGGCAAACCAGAAUAUGGUUAUCAAAGUGGGUGGCACAGUUUGCCAGAACAGUGUGAUCUGGGACACUGCAGGACCUAGAGUGCCCAGGCUAAAGACCUGGAUUUUAUCCUGAAGGCAAUUGGGAGCCGUGGAAAUUUAUGAGCAGAGGAGUUUCAUGGUCAGGUGGCAUUUCAGAAAGAGCUCUCUGGCUGCAGGAUGGAGAAUGGAUCAAGUAGUGCCAAGUGCAGGAAGGUCAGGGCAUUUGUGAUGUCAACAUUAGAACUGUCCCAGGAGUUGUUUAAACCCUAAUUGAGUCCUUGCCCGUUGGCCAAACACUUUUCCCUGAGCCUUCAGAUGCUCCUGCUGAGGAAUUUGGGGACCUGCAAUAGAUCUCAUUCCAGCUCUGCUCCCAGCUUGUUGGAUGACCAGUUCCUGCCCUGCUAGGGUCUAAAAGGAGGCCAGAACAAGUAAGAUCCUGCAUGGCAGAGUAUAUGUGUUGGGAGGCCCUGGCACAAAAGGUUUGUCACUCUUUCUCCUUUUCUCCCUGUCUGGGGCUUUCUUGGAGUCUGGUCAGAGGAGUUGGGUAUCCCAGUGGGUAACCCUCAGAAAUGACUACCAAACUUGGGCUGUGUCGUGAGGCUGUGGCUCCUCUGUUUCUGUCUCCCUCCCGCCCUGGAUGCAUAAGGCUCUAAGAAGGUGUGAGGGUAUCACCAGGGCCUCAUGAGUGACCUUAUGAGAGCUUUGACUUAAUGGCUAUAGUCUUUAGAGAGGCCAUUGUCCCUCUCUAGGUGUCAGUUCUGCCAUCUGUAAAUUGAGAAUGGUGAUCCUUGCUUCUUUGAGGGCAAAGUUGCUACAAGGAUUAAGAUAGUGAUCAGGGAAAAGCUUUAUAAGCCUUAAACUGCAGUGCUUGGAGAAGGAAUGUGAUGCUC